AUUGAACGCUGGCGGAAUGCUUUACACAUGCAAGUCGAACGGCAGCACGGGGGCAACCCUGGUGUCGCGUGGCGAACGGGUGAGUAAUACAUCGGAACGUGCCCGGUCGUGGGGGAUGACGUAGCGAAAGUUACGCUAAUACCGCAUACGAUCUGAGGAUGAACGCGGUGGAUCUUCAGUCCUCGAGGGAUUGGAGCGCCCGAUGUCAGAUUAGGUAGUUGGUAGGGUAAGGGCCUACCAAGCCGACGAUCUGUAGCUGGUCUGAGAGGACGACCAGCCACACUGGAACUGAGACACGGCCCAGACUCCUACGGGAGGCAGCAGUAGGGAAUUUUGGGCAAUGGGCGCAAGCCUGAUCCAGCAAUGCCGCGUGCAGGACGAAGGCCUUCGGGUUGUAAACUGCUGUUGUAUGGAACGAAAAGGCUCUGGCUAAUACCUGGGGCUCAUGACGGUACCGAAAGAAUAAGCACCGGCUAACUACGUG
This 484-nucleotide ribosomal RNA is filed under the name uncultured bacterium. Its description in RNAcentral is "partial 16S ribosomal RNA". It matches the Rfam family "Bacterial small subunit ribosomal RNA", at positions 30 to 507 of the family's 1533-position model. The record is from RNAcentral.